GACGAACGCUGGCGGCGUGCUUAACACAUGCAAGUCGAACGGAAAGGUCCUGCUUUUGUGGGGUGCUCGAGUGGCGAACGGGUGAGUAACACGUGAGUAACCUGCCCUUGACUUUGGGAUAACUUCAGGAAACUGGGGCUCAUACCGGAUAGGAGCUCCUGCUGCAUGGUGGGGGUUGGAAAGAUUCGGCGGUUGGGGAUGGACUCGCGGCUUAUCAGCUUGUUGGUGGGGUAGUGGCUUACCAAGGCUUUGACGGGUAGCCGGCCUGAGAGGGUGACCGGCCACAUUGGGACUGCGAUACGGCCCAGACUCGUACGUGAGGCAGCGGUGGGGAAUAUUGCACAGUGGGCGGAAGCCUGAUGCGGCGACGCCGCGUGCGGGAUAACGUCCUUCGGGUUGUAAACCGCUUUCGCCUGUGACGAAGCGUGAGUGACGGUAAUGGGUAAAGAAGCACCGGCUAACUACGUG
RNAcentral lists this ribosomal RNA (468 nucleotides) under uncultured bacterium. RNAcentral describes it as "partial 16S ribosomal RNA". It matches the Rfam family "Bacterial small subunit ribosomal RNA", at positions 28 to 507 of the family's 1533-position model. The record is from RNAcentral.